Non-coding RNA from Ilex paraguariensis (yerba mate), 108 nucleotides. The record is from the annotation of a GenBank genome assembly. Lineage: Eukaryota; Viridiplantae; Streptophyta; Magnoliopsida; Aquifoliales; Aquifoliaceae.
GCGAUCAUACCAGCAAUGAUGCACCGGAUCCCAUCAGAACUCCGCAGUUUAGCGUGUUUGGACGAGAGUAGUACUGGGAUGGGUGAACCCCAAGGAGGUCCUCAUGUU